AUGUCGAGGGAAGUAGGGAACGUCUUAGCUUCAGACUUUCAGCAGCUGUGGUGGAGUGGUGCCUAACUUCAUCUGAAAUGACAUUAUCGCCCAUAUAUUUCGCACAAAAUAAUGGUGAAACUGGACGAAGUGUUACUGUUCAUUUGGGACUUGCCCAGGUUUUAGGUGUUAUUAAAUUGUCAGCAUUUCUUUAAUGAGACCAGUACCUAUUGAUUUACUUUAACGGAAGCAUUAGUAUUCAACAUACAUACACUGGGACAGUUUUAGGGAUAAAAUUAUAUUGAAACUCAAGUCUAUGUGAAUUGCUAUUUUGAAGAAUUUUUGUAAAAAAAA
Long non-coding RNA from Coffea arabica (coffee), 333 nucleotides. RefSeq lists it as uncharacterized. Lineage: Eukaryota; Viridiplantae; Streptophyta; Magnoliopsida; Gentianales; Rubiaceae. The record is from RefSeq and is a predicted model, not a curated record.